CAGCCUGCCCAGUGAAACUAUUCAACGGCCGCGGUACCCUAACCGUGCGAAGGUAGCAUAAUCACUUGUUCUUUAAAUGGGGACUCGUAUCAACGGCAUCACGAGGGUUAUACUGUCUCCUUUCCCCAAUCAGUGAAACUGAUCUCUCCGUGAAGAAGCGGAGAUAAACUUAUAAGACGAGAAGACCCCAUGGAGCUUUAAACCCAGCAACUACACCUGUUUAAAUAUGCCCUUAUAAACAACAGAACCCUACUUGUCUGGUUUUAGGUUGGGGUGACCGCGGAGCAUAAAUUAACCUCCACUAUGAACGGGCUAACCCCCUUACCCAAGAGCUACACCUCUAAGAAUUAGUAAUCUAACAUAAACUGAUCCGAUCAUCGAUCAACGAACCAAGUUACCCUGGGGAUAACAGCGCAAUCCACUUUAAGAGCCCCUAUCGACAAGUGGGUUUACGACCUCGAUGUUGGAUCAGGGUAUCCUAGUGGUGCAGCAGCUACUAAAGGUUCGUUUGUUCAACGAUUAAAACCCUACGUGAUC
Molecule: ribosomal RNA, 537 nt
Filed under: Aglyptodactylus inguinalis
Lineage: Eukaryota; Metazoa; Chordata; Amphibia; Anura; Mantellidae
Description: partial 16S ribosomal RNA
Rfam family: Bacterial large subunit ribosomal RNA
Source: RNAcentral